RNAcentral lists this long non-coding RNA (1376 nucleotides) under Homo sapiens (human). RNAcentral describes it as "non-protein coding lnc-METTL26-7:4". Lineage: Eukaryota; Metazoa; Chordata; Mammalia; Primates; Hominidae. The record is from RNAcentral.
CACAGCUCGGGACGCGGGGAGCGCGGCCGGCGCGAGCUCAAGACCCGGCCCGACGUGCUCACUGCGGCAGCGGCGCCUCCUGGACGGGGACCCAGGGCCCGGACCGCGCUCUUCCCGGGGGCGCCGCCGAGCCCUCGUCCCUGCCGGGCCCGGCUGCCGCAGGUGCGUGGGCGAGCGAGGCGGCUGCGUCCGCGGGCCCCGGCGUGGGGUCGGGGGUUGAGUGGGCACGUGGUUCUUUCUGGGGUGACGAGAAGGUCCUACCGUCGUGGGGAUGGUCCUGCCUCUCUCGGUGAAGUUACUCACUCGGAACGGGUGAGCUUUGUGAUACGUGCUCUGCGUUCAGUAGCGCUGUUACAGUCGUAAGUAAAAGCAGUAACGUCAGCGCCGACCCAGCGCAGCCCUCUCCAGACCGGGUGCGGAGCCCGUCACGUCUGCCCCGCCGGCGAGGAGCAGAGCCCGGCAAGAACCCUCCUCCAGAGGGGCCCCGACCAGGGCUGUGCCUCCGGGAGCAGGUGCUGCUUACACAGAGGGACGCCAGGACGGGCAGCCCCACACCUCCAGUGACCUCCCGUCCCCCAGAGCUGAAGACAUGGCCUGACUAAGCGGCGACCACAUCGACGCACCAGUUUUUUCUUUUUUGAAACAGGGUCUCCCUUUGUCGCCCAGGCUGCAGUGCAGUAGCGCGAUCUCGGCUCACUGCAGCCUCUACCUCCCCGGCACAAGCGAUCCUCCAGCCUCAGCCUCCCGAGUAGCUGGGACUACAGGCGCCACCAUGCCCGGCUACCUUUUGUAUUUUUUGUAGAGAUGGCGCCUUGCCAAGUUCCCCAGGCAUUAACCCGGAAACAACCUGGCGGGUCAGGGAGAGCCUCUUCUGCUCAGAGGUCAUUGUGCCCAGACUUGAGCCCUGGCUGUGAAGUCCCUGAGGCCCCUCACUCCAGGGACGGGAAGCACCAAAGAUGUGAUGUUUCCUCCUCGGUUUCUGAGACUGCCUGGAAGCGGGGGGUGGAUAGUGGUGAGCAGCCGUCUCCUCCUUUCCUGAGAACAUAAAUCAGAAACGCUUUCUGAGGCCGGGCACGGUGGGUCAUGCCUGUAAUCCCAGCACUUUGGGAGGCUGAGGUGGGUGGAUCACCUGAGGUCAGGACCAGCUUGGCCAACAUCGUGAUAACCCCCUCUCCACUGAAAAUACAAAAAUGAGCCAGGCAUGUUGGUACGUGCCUGUAAUCCCAGCUACUUAGGAGGCUGAGGCAGAAGAAUUGCUUAAACUCGGGAAACGGAGGUUGCAGUGAGCUGAGAUUGUGCCACUGCACUCCAGCCUGGGCUACAGAGUGAGACUCUUGUCUCAGGAAAAAAAAAAAAAAAAAAGUGCCUCAAAAAUA